UUUAUUAAAUAAUUUAUAAAAUAGAAAUAUAUUAAAAUUUUUAUGUUUUUGUUUAUUAUUAAGUUUUUAGGUUAUGAAAUUUUAUAUUGAUUUUUUGUUGAAGUUAUAAUUAGCGGCACAUUGGGAUUUUUUUUAUUUGUUUACCAAUAUCAUUUACUAUUAUUAGAUAUUUAGUGAUAUUUGUUUAGUAAUGUUUAACAUAUUAAUUAAUUUAAUUUCAUAGGUUGUGAUUUUUGUGGUGAGAUUUUAGAGAGUAUUUUGCAUCAAAAUUCCAAUAUCAAUCACACAUUUGAGCGAAUUUGAUUACUAAGUGAAGUAACUUUGCUAGCUUUUGGAUUAAAGAUUGCAAGAGAAGAAUAUAUGGAUAAACAGUGGAUGUCAGCAAAUAGGUUAUCUGCGGAAUUUAGGAACGGGGUUGAUUUGUUCUUAAGGUUUUGUUCGGAAAAUGUGAAAGACCCAAAUUUUACUUAUUGUCCAUGUCUUAAGUGUGGAAAUGUUAAAAAGAUGGAUCUUAAAAAGAUUAAAGAACACUUAUAUUUCAAUGGGAUCGACAAGAGUUACAGAAUUUGGUAUUACCAUGGGGAGAUAGCUCCGAUUGCUCCAACUCUGCCAAGUAGACCAAAAGGAGUGAGGAGGAAUAUAGUGGAGGAGAACUGGGAUCCAUUAGAUGAAAUGAUUGACGACGCACAUUAUGGAUCAGGAGUAGACCCA
Molecule: long non-coding RNA, 711 nt
Organism: Humulus lupulus (European hop)
Lineage: Eukaryota; Viridiplantae; Streptophyta; Magnoliopsida; Rosales; Cannabaceae
Exons: 3
Source: RefSeq, a predicted model, not a curated record